This 506-nucleotide ribosomal RNA is filed under the name uncultured bacterium. Its description in RNAcentral is "bacterial SSU rRNA". It matches the Rfam family "Bacterial small subunit ribosomal RNA", at positions 501 to 1009 of the family's 1533-position model. The record is from RNAcentral.
CUACGUGCCAGCAGCCGCGGUAAUACGGAAGGUCCGGGCGUUAUCCGGAUUUAUUGGGUUUAAAGGGAGUGUAGGCUGGAGAUUAAGUGUGUUGUGAAAUGUAGACGCUCAACGUCUGACUUGCAGCGCAUACUGGUUUCCUUGAGUACGCACAACGUUGGCGGAAUUCGUCGUGUAGCGGUGAAAUGCUUAGAUAUGACGAAGAACUCCGAUUGCGAAGGCAGCUGACGGGAGCGCAACUGACGCUGAAGCUCGAAGGUGCGGGUAUCGAACAGGAUUAGAUACCCUGGUAGUCCGCACAGUAAACGAUGGAUGCCCGCUGUUGGUACCUGGUAUCAGCGGCUAAGCGAAAGCAUUAAGCAUCCCACCUGGGGAGUACGCCGGCAACGGUGAAACUCAAAGGAAUUGACGGGGGCCCGCACAAGCGGAGGAACAUGUGGUUUAAUUCGAUGAUACGCGAGGAACCUUACCCGGGCUUGAAUUGCAGAGGAAGGAUUUAGAGAUAA